This 506-nucleotide ribosomal RNA is filed under the name uncultured bacterium. Its description in RNAcentral is "partial 16S ribosomal RNA". It matches the Rfam family "Bacterial small subunit ribosomal RNA", at positions 28 to 523 of the family's 1533-position model. The record is from RNAcentral.
GAUGAACGCUAGCUACAGGCUUAACACAUGCAAGUCGAGGGGUAACAAGAGAAAAGCUUGCUUUUCUUGUUGACGACCGGCGCACGGGUGAGUAACGCGUAUCCAACCUGCCUAUAACUAGGGAAUAACCUUGCGAAAGUAAGACUAAUACCCUAUGAUUUCCUUUGAUGACAUCAGAUUAGGAAUAAAGAUUUAUCGGUUAUAGAUGGGGAUGCGUCUGAUUAGCUUGUUGGCGGGGUAACGGCCCACCAAGGCAACGAUCAGUAGGGGUUCUGGGAGGAAGGUCCCCCACAUUGGAACUGAGACACGGACCAAACUCAUACGGGAGGCAGCAGUGAGGAAUAUUGGUCAAUGGGCGGAAGCCUGAACCAGCCAAGUAGCGUGCAGGAUGACGGCCCUAUGGGUUGUAAACUGCUUUUAUACAGGAAUAAAGUUAGCCACGUGUGGUUAUUUGUAGGUACUGUAUGAAUAAGGACCGGCUAAUUCCGUGCCAGCCGCCGCCGUAA